UUGUUGAUGGCUCAGUCAGUAGAGCGUGCGACUCUUAAUCCCAGGGUUGUGGAUUCGAGUCCCAUACAAGAAA
Molecule: non-coding RNA, 73 nt
Organism: Podarcis lilfordi (Lilford's wall lizard)
Lineage: Eukaryota; Metazoa; Chordata; Lepidosauria; Squamata; Lacertidae
Source: the annotation of a GenBank genome assembly